RNAcentral lists this ribosomal RNA (496 nucleotides) under uncultured bacterium. RNAcentral describes it as "partial 16S ribosomal RNA". It matches the Rfam family "Bacterial small subunit ribosomal RNA", at positions 28 to 506 of the family's 1533-position model. The record is from RNAcentral.
GAUGAACGCUGGCGGCGUGCCUAAUACAUGCAAGUCGAGCGAACAGACGAGGAGCUUGCUCCUCUGACGUUAGCGGAGGACGGGUGAGUAACACGUGGAUCACCUACCUAUAAGACUGGGAUAACUUCGGGACACCGGCGCUAAUACCGGAUAAUAUCUUGAACCACAUGGUUCAAUAGUGAAAGACGGUUUUGCUGUCACUUAUAGCUGGAUCCGCGCCGCGUUAGCUAGUUGGUAGGGUAACGGCUUACCAGGGCAACGCUGCGUAGCCGACCUGAGAGGGGGUUCGGCCACUGUGAAAGUGAGACACGGCCCAGACUCCUACGGGAGGCAGCAGUAGGGAAUGUACCGCAAUGGGCGAAAGCCUGACGAAGCAACGGCGCGUGGGUGAUGAAGGUCUGCGUGUCGUAAAACUCUGUUAGUAGGGAAAAACAAAUGUGUAAGUAACUAUGCACGUCUGAAGGGAACCUAUUCAGAAGCCCACGGCUAACAACGG